CAGCUUCCAUGGCAACGUAGAACUAGCAGAAAUAGCAGUAGACAAACUAAUGUGCCUGGAGCCGCAAAACACAGCAAAUCUAGUCAUCCUUUCAAACAUAUAUGCGGCAUGUGGCAAAUGGGAUGGUGUUGCCCGGGUCUGGAAGUUACUGAGGGAAAAAGAUCACAAGAAAUCAGCUGGGUACAGUUACAUUGAGUUCGAUGGCAGGAUGCAUAAGUUCCUGGUUGAGGAUAAGUCGCAUCCAAGAUAUGAGGAGGUAUAUGAAACCCUGGAUAGUGUCACACUUACCAUGAAGCUUGUUGGCUUGGAAAAUUUGGAAGAAGAGGAAUGCUAAUUUUUCCAUUGACACCUUCCUUAUCUUUUUUAAGCCACCUAGAUUUGUGAAGAAACAGAUAUAAAGUCACUCGAGAUUGAUCAUGGAGUCCUUGCUCUGAUCUUUCGUAUAUAACUGAACUGCAAAAGGAUACAUCAAGGAGGCAACAGAAGAUGUGAAUAUCAAGUGAAUGCACCACCUGGAUAUAAACAGAUUUUUUUUUCUAGUACCAAUUACCAAAUGGUUGUUUCUGUUGUGCUUACUAUCAGAGGUGCAAGAGUACCAGGCAGAAAAGAACAUGUAAUUGCAUGACAUACCCCAAGCAGGUGCAUUCCUCUGUUUCUGUUCAAAUUUGAACUUUGGAUCUGACAUGCUAAAUUAUUAAACAGAAACUAGGGGACAUUGAGAAAGCCUAUGCUGUAGUAUUGCCAUGUUGCGUGCUUUCUGCUUUUCUGCAUUUAGCUAAAUGCCUCUCUAACUUGUUUGAUGUGGCAGCUCACUGUGGAAGACGCUAGAGGAAACCCUCAAACCUGUAAGCUCUCAACUCACCAAACUCUAGAACACAGAAUGCACACACAAAGGAAAUUGGCACUGCAAAGAUGCAGCUUUUCUGAUUAUAUUGCCCUCUUAUUUGUAUCUGAGAAUGCAUGGCCUUGAUGGGCGAUGACCGAAACUACUGGCCAUAGUGGCCCUAUCAACUAGGACACGUCCUGUGGAGAGAAAUUGACACUACUAACAUCACUUCUUAAAGACCAGGACUUGCUAACAAUCUUGACCAGUUCAGCCGACUACUAACUGAAUGACCACACCUGAAUGAAACUCUGAAACUACUGAACUUGACUGAAAGACAUCUGACUGAAACACAGGGACAGGGAUUACUUCCAAAACCAUGGGUUUAUGCAUGAGAUUGCUUGGAACUAUGAUGCAGGAAUGAGGGAUGUUAUCUUUGUGCCCAUCAUGUUCGCAUGAUUCCCUUCUGUAGUACAUUUCAGCCAUGGUCCAUGGAUCACCCUCAUUGUUUGGAGCCGGAAGCAAGGCAAACAUGAGUUGUCAAAUGGUAGAAAUAAGAAGCCUUAUUUGUCCUCCACUUUCUAAAAAAAAAGUGGACUUGCUCUUUCCCUAUACAGUAUAUGUUUUGUCGUGCUUCAUGAGAUUGUCAAGUGGUAGAAAUAAGAAGUGGGCCUUGGUUACUUUUUUGUAGCUGAAACUGGUACAUUGAACAAAUUUACAACAUUUUUUUGUGCCAUGUGUCAAUCUGGAUUCUGGAAAUUUGAAAAUGACUGCUGCUGCUGGCUGCUGCUUAGGUGUGAACGUACUAGAACAAAAAAGGAGAAAGAUUUGCUCAGAUAGGAGUACAGGACACUCCAGAAGAACACAGAGGACACUGGUCAAUGUUCAGAUUGCCAUGUGAUUUGGAAAAAACAAGUUCUCCGGGUCAGUUUCACAAUUAGGAACAUAAUCAUAAUGUAAGAUGCUUGACAUGACUGGUCAGUGCUGAUGACCGAACAUGAUAGUGAAUAUUAUUUUAUUUUAUGUCAUUGCUUCAUCUAGUGAAAUAAUUCGCGCUAUGAAUUUUUCAUCGUCCUUUUGUGUUUGUAAAGUUGACUGACCAGGUAGUGCUCUGGAUCCUCAAUGACGCCUUGCAAUCAGGCG
Molecule: long non-coding RNA, 1966 nt
Filed under: Setaria italica (foxtail millet)
Lineage: Eukaryota; Viridiplantae; Streptophyta; Magnoliopsida; Poales; Poaceae
Description: long non-coding RNA (SITA_LNC002696)
Source: RNAcentral